Molecule: ribosomal RNA, 434 nt
Filed under: uncultured bacterium
Lineage: Bacteria
Description: partial 16S ribosomal RNA
Rfam family: Bacterial small subunit ribosomal RNA
Source: RNAcentral
AGCGAACGCUGGCGGCAGGCCUAACACAUGCAAGUCGAACGAACCUGCCGGGCUUUGUGGCGGACGGGGGGGGACCACGGGGGAACGUGCCCGUAGGUACGGAAUAACUCAGGGUAACUUGUGUUAAUACCGCAGGUGCUCAUCGGGGGUAAGAGCAAUCGCCUCUAGAGCGGCGCGCGUCUGUUUAGCUAGUUGGUUGUGGUAAUGGCUCGCCAAGGCGUCGUUCAGUAGCUGGUGUGAGAGGAUGAUUAGACACAUUGGGACUGCGACACGGACUAAAAUCCUACGCGAGGCAGCAGUGGGGAAUCUUGCGCGAUGGGCGAAAACCUGACGAAGCCGUGCGGCGUAAAUGAUGAAGGUCUUAGGAUUGUAAUAUUCUUUCUCAGGGGGCGUUAAUGACGGUAACCGGAAAAGAAGCCCCGGCUAACUACGUG